AUUGAACGCUGGCGGCAGGCUUAACACAUGCAAGUCGAGCGGGGGAAGGUAGCUUGCUACCGGACCUAGCGGCGGACGGGUGAGUAAUGCUUAGGAAUCUGCCUAUUAGUGGGGGACAACAUCUCGAAAGGGAUGCUAAUACCGCAUACGUCCUAUGGGAGAAAGCAGGGGAUCUUCGGACCUUGCGCUAAUAGAUGAGCCUAAGUCGGAUUAGCUAGUUGGUGGGGUAAAGGCCUACCAAGGCGACGAUCUGUAGCGGGUCUGAGAGGAUGAUCCGCCACACGGGGACUGGGACACGGCCCAGACUCCUACGGGAGGCAGCAGUGGGGAAUAUUGGACAAUGGGGGGAACCCUGAUCCAGCCAUGCCGCGUGUGUGAAGAAGGCCUUAUGGUUGUAAAGCACUUUAAGCGAGGAGGAGGCUACUUUAGUUAAUACCUAGAGAUAGUGGACGUUACUCGCAGAAUAAGCACCGGCUAACUCUGUGCCAGCAGCCGCCGUAA
This 501-nucleotide ribosomal RNA is filed under the name uncultured bacterium. RNAcentral's name for it is "partial 16S ribosomal RNA". It matches the Rfam family "Bacterial small subunit ribosomal RNA", at positions 30 to 523 of the family's 1533-position model. The record is from RNAcentral.